GCCAGAGGUCAAAAACAUUUCCAUCAUGUUUGGGGCAUUUCUUUUCAUCCUGCUGGGGACAUGGUGCACAGUUUCCGCUUCCCAGCCUGUGCUGACUCAGGAAUCUUCUAUGUCAGCAUCCCCUGGACAGACGGUGAAACUCUCUUGUUCAAUGAGCAGUGGGUAUCCAGUGCAGAACUACUGGCAAUCCUGGUACCAACAGAAACCUGGCAGCCCUCCAAGAUACCUAUUCUAUUAUUAUAGCGGCCCAGGCACAGGGUCUGGGGACUUCAGUCGGUUCUCUUCUUCCAAGGAGAGCUCCCAGAAUACUUGGUAUUUAACCAUCAGCAGUGUCCAGGCAGAAGAUGAGGCUGAUUAUCACUGUGCUGUGUGGUAUGGCAGUGCUGCUGUGUUCCACAGUGAUGCCGUCCUAAGAGGAACUGAGACAAAAACCCAAAAGGAAAAUCAAAUGCACCUUCUGCUGUCACCUUGUUUGCAAUUGCUCUGUUUGCAGAAUCAGAAGGAUGACUAA
This is a non-coding RNA of Gekko japonicus, 511 nucleotides long. NCBI's taxonomy places the organism in Eukaryota, Metazoa, Chordata, Lepidosauria, Squamata, Gekkonidae. The record is from the annotation of a RefSeq genome assembly.